Molecule: ribosomal RNA, 253 nt
Filed under: uncultured bacterium
Lineage: Bacteria
Description: partial 16S ribosomal RNA
Rfam family: Bacterial small subunit ribosomal RNA
Source: RNAcentral
UACGUAGGGCGCAAGCGUUGUCCGGAAUUAUUGGGCGUAAAGAGCUCGUAGGCGGUUUGUCGCGUCUGUCGUGAAAGCUUGGGGCUUAACCCCAAGUCUGCGGUGGAUACGGGCAGACUAGAGGCAGGUAGGGGAGAACGGAAUUCCCGGUGUAGCGGUGAAAUGCGCAGAUAUCAGGAAGAACACCCGUGGCGAAAGCGGCUCUCUGGAACGGUACUGACGCUGAGACGCGAAAGCGUGGGGAGCGAACAGG